GAUAGUACCUUACUACUUGGAUACCCGUAGUAAUUCUAGAGCUAAUACAUGCAUCAACGCCCAAUCGGGCCGCGUUUAUUAGAUAGAAACCCAUAUUUUUGGUGAAUCAUAAUAACUGUGCGAAUCGCAUGGGUUUACCCCGGCGAUGAAUCAAUCAAGUUUCUGCCCUAUCAGCUUUCGAUGGUAGGGUAUUGGCCUACCAUGGCGUUAACGGGUAACGGAGAAUUAGGGUUCGAUUCCGGAGAGGGAGCCUGAGAAACGGCUACCACAUCCAAGGAAGGCAGCAGGCGCGUAAAUUACCCAAUCCUGACACAGGGAGGUAGUGACAAUAAAUAACAAUGCCGGGCUUUUUCAAGUCUGGCAAUUGGAAUGAGAACAAUUUAAAUCCCUUAACGAGGAUCAAUUGGAGGGCAAGUCUGGUGCCAGCAGCCGCGGUAAUUCCAGCUCCAAUAGCGUAUAUUAAUGUUGUUGCAGUUAAAAAGCUCGUAGUUGGAUUUCUGGUGGGAGUGGCCGGUCCGCCGUAAGGUGUGUACUUGGUUGUCUCCUGUCAUCCUUGUGGGAACUGCUCUGGCAUUAAGUUGUCGGGGUUGGGGAACACAUCGUUUACUGUGAAAAAAUUAGAGUGUUUAAAGCAGGCUUAUGCCGUUGAACACAUUAGCAUGGAAUAAUAAGAUAGGACUUUGGCGUCUAUUUUGUUGGUUUGCACACCAAAGUAAUGAUUAAUAGGGAUAGUUGGGGGUAUUCGUAUUUAAUUGUCAGAGGUGAAAUUCUUGGAUUUAUGAAAGACGAACUUCUGCGAAAGCAUUUACCAAAGAUGUUUUCAUUAAUCAAGAACGAAAGUUAGGGGAUCGAAGAUGAUUAGAUACCAUCGUAGUCUUAACCAUAAACUAUGCCGACUAGGGAUUGGCGGUCGUUCAUUUAUGACUCCGUCAGCACCUUAUGAGAAAUCAAAGUCUUUGGGUU
Molecule: ribosomal RNA, 963 nt
Filed under: uncultured eukaryote
Lineage: Eukaryota
Description: SSU rRNA
Rfam family: Eukaryotic small subunit ribosomal RNA
Source: RNAcentral